RNAcentral lists this ribosomal RNA (549 nucleotides) under uncultured Glomus. RNAcentral's name for it is "SSU rRNA". It matches the Rfam family "Eukaryotic small subunit ribosomal RNA", at positions 548 to 1098 of the family's 1831-position model. The record is from RNAcentral. Lineage: Eukaryota; Fungi; Glomeromycota; Glomeromycetes; Glomerales; Glomeraceae.
UUGGAGGGCAAGUCUGGUGCCAGCAGCCGCGGUAAUUCCAGCUCCAAUAGCGUAUAUUAAAGUUGUUGCAGUUAAAAAGCUCGUAGUUGAAUUUCGGGAUCAACACGUCGGUCGUGCCUUCGGUACGCACUAGCGUCGUUGGUUCCUCCCUUCUGACGAACCAAGAUGUCAUUAACUUGGUGUUUUGGGGAGUUAGGACUGUUACUUUGAAAAAAUUAGAGUGUUUAAAGCAGGCAAUCGCUUGAAUACAUUAGCAUGGAAUAAUGAAAUAGGACGUUCGAUCCUAUUUCGUUGGUUUCUAGGAUCAACGUAAUGAUUAAUAGGGAUAGUUGGGGGCAUUAGUAUUCAAUUGUCAGAGGUGAAAUUCUUGGAUUUAUUGAAGACUAACUACUGCGAAAGCAUUUGCCAAGGAUGUUUUCAUUAAUCAAGAACGAAAGUUAGGGGAUCGAAGACGAUCAGAUACCGUCGUAGUCUUAACCAUAAACUAUGCCGACUAGGGAUCGGAUGAUGUUAAUUUUUUAAUGACUCAUUCGGCGCCUUACGGGAAAC